This 937-nucleotide long non-coding RNA is filed under the name Elaeis guineensis (African oil palm). RNAcentral describes it as "long non-coding RNA (EGUI_LNC011419)". The record is from RNAcentral. Lineage: Eukaryota; Viridiplantae; Streptophyta; Magnoliopsida; Arecales; Arecaceae.
GCUGGAUAAUUUUCCUUUUUCUUGAAUUACUAUAAUAAAUUGAAGCUCUUGUUGUUUUGUAACCAAGGCUGAUGGAACUGCUGAGGCUUUAGUUUCACAAGGGUGCCCUUAUGUUAUGAUUCAUUCAAUCAACUCCUGGAUGUGUUUACCUAAAAAGGAACUUGGGUACAGUAAAUAACAUUAAGGGGGCCAUCUCUUGCAAAUGCUUCUUUAUUUAUUUAUCUCGUAUAUCUUGAAAAAUCAAGACCAAUCUAUCAGCAAAUGUUAAUAAAUUAAAUGAAAUCCAGUAUUCAUAUAUAAACAUUAAUAAAAAUAAAUUUUAUGAUUCGGUGAAAGGCAAAGUUAAAGAAAAUUACGACCCUGAGUACGAACAAGAAACCGUCAAUACGAACUAUUGAUUUCAAUUGUUUCAAACAACAAGCUCAAAAAGUGUACCGAGACCCGCAAACCAGCCGUCGCUUACCUUGCUUUCACAAGCCAAGGAUUUCUUGUGACCGGUAAAUAGUCAGGAGUCAGGUUAUUUGAAACAAAUCGUUUCCAACCUCGAUUUGGGAGCGCAUACAGCAGGCACUUCCACGCCUUCAACAUGUAUAUAUGUUAGAGAAGUUUCUCCAACAGUCGUAUUAACCUCUUUGUCGUACUCAGUGCAACGCAUCGUACUUUACAUUUGAGGUCGUUCCCUCGUUUUCACGAAAAGAAUAACCAAAACCCGUCAACCUGCAAUAAAUCUGGGUUUACGUCCUUCCACUUGAUAAGUAAACCUGGGGCUAGCAAAAAAGACAUUAUGGGAACCUAACAACAACCGUUAGGACGUUACUGGAUAUAGAAAAUAAUGUAUUCAGCAGAUCAUAUUGUGGGGGAUAAAAAAAAAAUCAUACCGUGAGGGGUCAAAAAGAUCUCAAGAUAAAACAGGUAAAUAAUGACAGGUUAAAUGCUG